RNAcentral lists this ribosomal RNA (1008 nucleotides) under Triticum aestivum (bread wheat). Its description in RNAcentral is "partial small subunit ribosomal RNA". The record is from RNAcentral. Lineage: Eukaryota; Viridiplantae; Streptophyta; Magnoliopsida; Poales; Poaceae.
AUGGCCAACAGAGUAAACCGCAUGGCGCUGGCACGCAGAGAGUCACCGGCUGGGCCGACGACGCUGCACGACAUCCCCGACAAGCUCCUCAAGCUCAUCCUCUUGUACCUCACCUCGCCCCACUGGCUCGUCCGAGCAGCGGCCACCUGCAAGCGAUGGCGCCGCAUCAUCGUUGAUGCAAACUUCCUCUCUGAAAUUGGUUCCAUCCCCCAUUCCUCAUCUCUUGUUGCAGGCCAUUAUCAUAACCACACAGCCCCUGUUGACGGCCGCUGCCUCAGCUUUGUUCCUUCCUCGCCAGCACUAGAUCUAGAUGUCAGUAGCCGGCACUUCUCCCUGGACUUCCUCCCUCCAGGCGGCAGCAGGUCAUGGGAGAUCGUUGAUAGCCGCCACACCCUACUCCUCCUCGCCAAGAAGAAGACUGGGUGGAGACGUCAUACCUUGCCUGACCUCGUAGUCUGCGAGCCCCUCACACGGCGUUACCAACUAAUCCCACGCAUGGAGGAAAAGAAAUACCACCGAUGCAUUGGUGUAUUCCUCCAUGGUUUCAAUGACAGAGGAGAUACCUCGAGGUGGGGCCGCGCCAUCGAUGCAAUGUCGAGUUUCAGAGUGAUUUGCCUGCUCUUCAAUGAGCACAUCGGGAUCGGGUGGAAAGACGAGUUUGAGACCGAGGAUCGGCUUUGUGGGUUCUCGAUAUCGACAACGACGACAGGGUGCAUCUUGUUUGCUUGCAGGGCGAACCUUCGCAUCUUUGCGGCAAGGCGGUAUGAUAGCCCCGAUUGGGAGCUUCAGAAGGGCAUCCAAUUAAAGGAGGCUACCCGUGGACUGAAAGGGCACAGGGAUGAGUACUUUCGUCAGUCUACGAAGAUUGUCUCAACCAGCACGAGCUCUAUUGUGUUCUUUCCGGCAGAGGAGAAAUGGCUAUUCUCCACUGACUUUGAGACCAUGGAGAUGGCGAAAUACGAAUACAAGACACUUUUUUUUUUGAAACUGUGGCUUAUCUCCGUGUGA